Molecule: ribosomal RNA, 467 nt
Filed under: uncultured bacterium
Lineage: Bacteria
Description: partial 16S ribosomal RNA
Rfam family: Bacterial small subunit ribosomal RNA
Source: RNAcentral
ACGAACGCUGGCGGCGUGCUUAACACAUGCAAGUCGCACGGAAAGGCCCUGCUUUUGUGGGGUGCUCGAGUGGCGAACGGGUGAGUAACACGUGAGUAACCUGCCCUUGACUUUGGGAUAACUUCAGGAAACUGGGGCUAAUACCGGAUAGGAGCUCCUGCUGCAUGGUGGGGGUUGGAAAGUUUCGGCGGUUGGGGAUGGACUCGCGGCUUAUCAGCUUGUUGGUGGGGUAGUGGCUUACCAAGGCUUUGACGGGUAGCCGGCCUGAGAGGGUGACCGGCCACAUUGGGACUGAGAUACGGCCCAGACUCCUACGGGAGGCAACAGUGGGGAAUAUUGCACAAUGGGCGGAAGCCUGAUGCAGCAACGCCGCGUGCGGGAUGACGGCCUUCGGGUUGUAAACCGCUUUCGCCUGUGACGAAGCGUGAGUGACGGUAAUGGGUAAAGAAGCACCGGCUAACUACGUG